Molecule: ribosomal RNA, 502 nt
Filed under: uncultured bacterium
Lineage: Bacteria
Description: partial 16S ribosomal RNA
Rfam family: Bacterial small subunit ribosomal RNA
Source: RNAcentral
GACGAACGCUGGCGGCGUGCUUAACACAUGCAAGUCGAACGGUGAAGGGGUCUGCUUUUGUGGGCCCUGGAUGAGUGGCGAACGGGUGAGUAACACGUGAGUAACCUGCCCCCUUCUUCUGGAUAACCGCAUGAAAGUGUGUCUAAUACGGGAUAUUCUGGGUCUGUCGCAUGAUGGGUCUGGGAAAGGUUGCGCCUUUGGGUGUUGUUGGUGGGGGAUGGGCUCGCGGCCUAUCAGCUUGUUGGUGGGGUGAUGGCCUCCCAAGGAGGUGACGCGUAGCCGGGAUGGGAGGCUGGACGGCUAGACUGGGACUGAGACACGGACCAGAAUGCGACGGGGGGGAGCGGUGGGGAAUAUUGCACGAGGGGGGCAAGCCGGAUGACGCGACGUCGGGGGUGGGAUUGAGGGCUUCGGGUUGUUCACCUCUUUGGCAAGAGAAGCAGGCCUGGUACUUGUGGGUGUGUUGACGGUAGCUAGAUAAGAAGCGCCGGCUAACUACGUG